UGGAAAGGAAAUGAGGAGUGACCUCACCUCCCUGCGUCUCCCUGGGGAGGAAUCAGGAGUCCUGCCCCCCAUCCCCACAGUCUACCCGUCCCACCGGGGCCUGCUGCCCUCCUACACCGGCCAUGUUCCAGGACACAAGUUCAGGUACGGCCAGACCUUUGGGCAGCUUACCCACAAUGCCCUGGGGCUAAGCGGCACUCAGAAGAUAGAGGCCAGAGCUCAGUAACGGAGGAUCUCGACUGGUGCCAAAAUGAGCCAUGAUCAAAUCCACUGCCAAGCUCACAGAUUUCAGCAGACCUGGAGAAACAUGGAAAGAAGCAAUCAGGAGUUAGCUCAUUUCAUAUUCUGUGCCAUGCAGGGGGGUUAUCAAAAUGCCUGAGGGACUGACAUAAAACAGAUUUGAUUCAUUAACCAGAAACAUCAGACACUGAAUAAAAAGGGUGUAUAUACAGAACCACAUGGGAACAUCCAUGAUUCAUCUCCCUUCCAUCUUGCUCUGGCUCUCUCUAAAAUGUCAGGGUACAUUCUUAAUGCAUAUUGAAUCUGCCUACCAUGCUCUCCCCUGUCAAACGGACAGUACAUCACUGUUCAAGCUUUGCUUUCACAAGACAAUGUGCAUACAAGCAUGGGAUUGACAUUUACAUUGUUUGGUUAUAAUCAUGUGUGUCUGUAUUGUGACACUAAAAUAACAUAUCUGUGAA
This is a long non-coding RNA of Salvelinus fontinalis (brook trout), 701 nucleotides long. RefSeq lists it as uncharacterized. Lineage: Eukaryota; Metazoa; Chordata; Actinopteri; Salmoniformes; Salmonidae. The record is from RefSeq and is a predicted model, not a curated record. The transcript is spliced from 3 exons.